GACGAACCGUGCGAACGUUAUUCGGAAUCACUGGGCUUAAAGCGCGUGUAGGCGGGACGGCACGUCCGUCGCUGAAAUCCCCCGGCUCAACCGGGGAACUGGCGGGGAUACGACCGUCCUGGAGGGACGUAGGGGGACCUGGAACUUCCGGUGGAGCGGUGAAAUGCGUUGAGAUCGGAAGGAACGCCCGUGGCGAAAGCGAGGUCCUGGACGUCUUCUGACGCUGAGACGCGAAAGCUAGGGGAGCGAACGGG
Molecule: ribosomal RNA, 254 nt
Filed under: uncultured bacterium
Lineage: Bacteria
Description: partial 16S ribosomal RNA
Rfam family: Bacterial small subunit ribosomal RNA
Source: RNAcentral